Molecule: transfer RNA, 73 nt
Filed under: Loxodonta africana (African savanna elephant)
Lineage: Eukaryota; Metazoa; Chordata; Mammalia; Proboscidea; Elephantidae
Rfam family: tRNA
About the family: Transfer RNA (tRNA) molecules are approximately 80 nucleotides in length. Their secondary structure includes four short double-helical elements and three loops (D, anti-codon, and T loops).
Source: Rfam by way of RNAcentral
CCCUGUGUGGCUCAAACAGUUAAGCACUCAGCUACUAGCUGAAAGGUUGGUGGUUUAAAUCCACCCGUAGAUA